This 1489-nucleotide ribosomal RNA is filed under the name metagenome. RNAcentral's name for it is "bacterial SSU rRNA". It matches the Rfam family "Bacterial small subunit ribosomal RNA". The record is from RNAcentral.
AGAGUUUGAUCCUGGCUCAGAUUGAACGCUGGCGGCAUGCCUUACACAUGCAAGUCGAACGGCAGCACGGGAGCAAUCCUGGUGGCGAGUGGCGAACGGGUGAGUAAUAUAUCGGAACGUGCCCAGUAAUGGGGGAUAGCCCGGCGAAAGCCGGAUUAAUACCGCAUACGACCUACGGGUGAAAGCGGGGGAUCGCAAGACCUCGUGUUAUUGGAGCGGCCGAUAUCAGAUUAGCUUGUUGGCGGGGUAAAAGCCCACCAAGGCGACGAUCUGUAGCUGGUCUGAGAGGACGACCAGCCACACUGGGACUGAGACACGGCCCAGACUCCUACGGGAGGCAGCAGUGGGGAAUUUUGGACAAUGGGCGCAAGCCUGAUCCAGCCAUGCCGCGUGUGGGAAGAAGGCCUUCGGGUUGUAAACCACUUUUGUCAGGGAAGAAACGGCUCUUACUAAUAUUAGGAGCUAAUGACGGUACCUGAAGAAUAAGCACCGGCUAACUACGUGCCAGCAGCCGCGGUAAUACGUAGGGUGCAAGCGUUAAUCGGAAUUACUGGGCGUAAAGCGUGCGCAGGCGGCUUUGCAAGACAGAUGUGAAAUCCCCGGGCUCAACCUGGGAACUGCAUUUGUGACUGCAUGGCUAGAGUACGGUAGAGGGGGAUGGAAUUCCGCGUGUAGCAGUGAAAUGCGUAGAUAUGCGGAGGAACACCGAUGGCGAAGGCAAUCCCCUGGACCUGUACUGACGCUCAUGCACGAAAGCGUGGGGAGCAAACAGGAUUAGAUACCCUGGUAGUCCACGCCCUAAACGAUGUCAACUGGUUGUUGGACGGCUUGCUGUUCAGUAACGAAGCUAACGCGUGAAGUUGACCGCCUGGGGAGUACGGCCGCAAGGUUGAAACUCAGAGGAAUUGACGGGGACCCGCACAAGCGGUGGAUGAUGUGGUUUAAUUCGAUGCAACGCGAAAAACCUUACCUACCCUUGACAUGUCUAGAAGUUUCCAGAGAUGGAUUCGUGCUCGAAAGAGAACUAGAACACAGGUGCUGCAUGGCCGUCGUCAGCUCGUGUCGUGAGAUGUUGGGUUAAGUCCCGCAACGAGCGCAACCCUUAUCAUUAGUUGCUACGCAAGGGCACUCUAACGAGACUGCCGGUGACAAACCGGAGGAAGGUGGGGAUGACGUCAGGUCAUCAUGGCCCUUAUGGGUAGGGCUACACACGUCAUACAAUGGCCGGUACAGAGGGCUGCCAACCCGCGAGGGGGAGCUAAUCUCAGAAAACCGGUCGUAGUCCGGAUCGCAGUCUGCAACUCGACUGCGUGAAGUCGGAAUCGCUAGUAAUCGCGGAUCAGCUUGCCGCGGUGAAUACGUUCCCGGGUCUUGUACACACCGCCCGUCACACCAUGGGAGCGGGUUCUGCCAGAAGUAGUUAGCCUAACCGCAAGGAGGGCGAUUACCACGGCAGGGUUCGUGACUGGGGUGAAGUCGUAACAAGGUA